This is a non-coding RNA of Nothobranchius furzeri (turquoise killifish), 2850 nucleotides long. The record is from RefSeq and is a predicted model, not a curated record. Lineage: Eukaryota; Metazoa; Chordata; Actinopteri; Cyprinodontiformes; Nothobranchiidae.
AAAGCAGAAUGGGGUACGUGUGCUUUAAAUGUCAUAGGUCUUUAGGUCAUAACAUAAGAGCUUUUUUUAACCAUCUCAGAGUGGUGCAUCAUAUACUUUCUACUUCAACUUAUUUCCAGUGUGCUCAAGUUGGGUGCCAUCGCACUUUUGAUCAAAUAAGAUCAUUCAGACGACACAUAAUUGGGCAUGCUAUUGAGUUUGACAUUGAAACAGAAGAAAGUAGCACAGGUGAACUUCCUGACAGUUCAGUAGAUCCUCAUUUAAGUGUGCUAAAUGAGGUGGAAUGCUGUGAGACUACAGCAGAACAUUGGGAUGAGCUAGAGGAAGACAACAUAAAGGACAGAGUUGCACUCUUCUUAGCUAGGUUAAAGGCAACAUCCUCUCAGACAUUCAGUGGGAUUAGAGAUGUAGUUGAAAACACAUCAGGUCUUAUCAGAGAUGUAGUUGGUUGCUUAAAGAGAAAAACACUCUCUUUUUUAAGAGAGAUCGGUCACUCUGAGACUCCACAAGCAGAGGACCUCAUGGAGCAGUUCACCAAAGCAGCUGAACCAUUUCAAGGAUUUGAAUCAGAGUACAAGCAAAUGAAAUAUUUUACUCAGUCUGGGUUCUUCAUACAGCCAGAGGCAGUACCACUCCCUGGCUUUUCCUUUACACAAGAAAUUGAUCGAGAGUCAGGAAAUGUGAAACAAGUUGCAGUUCGGGACACUUUCCAGUAUGUUCCCUUGAAACCCAUGUUGAAGCUUGUUCUGGAAAGUCCAGGAACAAUAGAUAAGAUCUUUGAAUGGCGAAAUCUUGAAAAUGCUGCCUUAGAGGAUUUCAGAGAUGGCACAAUAUUUGAAACUAAUCCACUUUUCUCUAAAGAUUUCUCUAUUCCAUUGGUUCUUUACAGUGAUGAGUGUGAGAUGGUGAAUCCACUUGGCGCAAAAACAUCAGUCCACAAACUUGGUUUUAUCUAUUUCACAAUGAAAUGCUUGCCACAGGAAUACAUGUCUAGUUUAAAGUCUCACUUCUUGUUGGCAGUGUACAAAGCUGAUGAUGUAAAAACAUAUGGAAUGAACACAAUUUUAGAGCCAAUUGUGAAUGACAUUAAAGACAUGGAACUGAAUGGCUUUCAUGUUGAAACCACACGUUUUUCAGGCAUUGUUAAGGCUGGAGUGGCACAGGUCUGUGGUGAUAACCUUGGACUUAAUGGAAUACUUGGUUACACAGAAAGCUUUGCAGGCAAUAGCGUGUGUCGGUGGUGUCGAGUUCACAAGGAAGUGUUGAGGGUACAGACAGUUGAAGCUCCUUCAUCAAUACGUGACAAGGUUAACUACCACUCAGACUUGCUUCUACACAAACCAGCUGAAACUGGCAUCAAGAGAGAGUGCUCUCUUAACAAGUUGCAGUUCUACCAUGUGACUGACAAUGUUGCUCCUGAUGUCAUACAUGAUAUCCUCGAAGGGAUUGGUGGUUAUGAAAUUAAGCUUGUGCUCAAUGCAUUGAUUGAACAAAAAAUUGUCACUCUUGAUCAGCUGAACUACAGGUUGACAAGCUUUGACUAUGGAUUUUGUGAUGUCCACAACAAGCCAUCAACCAUCAAACCUCAGGACUUGAAAAAUCCUGAUACUGGACUUAGGCAAUCUGCUUCACAAACAUGGUGUCUGCUAAGACUGCUUCCCCUCAUGAUAGGGGAUUUGAUUCCAGAGGACAACAAAUAUUGGGAGUUGCUUCUUUUAUUGUUGAGCUGCAUGGAGUUUAUUUUUUCUCCUUCAUUAACAGAAGGAGCAGUAGUCUUUUUGGGGCACAUCAUUGAGGAGCACCAUUGUCUUUAUUUAGAGCUCUUCCCAGACAGACAUCUAAAACCCAAACACCACUUCAUGCUUCACUAUCCCAGAGCCAUACGGAAACUUGGGCCUGUUGUUCACUUCUGGUCAAUGCGCUUUGAGGCAAAACAUGGGUUUUUCAAAAGAGUGAGUCAUGUUACCUGCAACUUUCGAAAUAUCUGUAAAACCCAAGCCUACAGACAUCAAAUAAUGAUGUGUUACACUCUCCUGUCAGGCCAGAUGUUUUGCCAUGAGUUUGAAGUUGGGCCAGGAUAUACCAAACUCCUUGGUACAAUAGAGGAUUUUGAGAAGGUCAAAUCUGGGUUUGAAGGAGUUGCUGUUAUUACAGACGUUUAUCUGCCUUCUUGGAUUAAGUACAAGGGCACUAGCUACAGGACAGGAAUGACAUUAUUUAUGUCUCAUACAGAUGACUGCGAGCCUCAGUUUGGAACUAUUCAGAGCAUUGUGGUACUUCGUUCGAAUACUAAGCUCAUUUUAAAAAAGUGGGAAACAAUCGGCUUUGAAAGGCAUUUUUUUGCCUUCAAUGUUUCCCCUACCUCAGCGAUUGAAGCAGUGGACAUUGAUUCCAUUGCUGACUAUCACCCUCUCCAUGCUGUGAAAUCCUACAAGGAGAAUUGCAGUGACUUCUACAUUUCACUGAGGUACAGGCUAUUUUAAACCCAAAGGGUUUUAAGUACUGUCUUGAGCUUUGACCUGGUACUACCUCAUUUUUGUGACAAAUAAAUGUAAAUACAUUCAAAUCAUUAAAAUAUUUGAUUAAAAUCAAUAUAACUGUGGAGCUGCAUAUCAGCUUUAUCAUCAUCACUUUUGAUUCAAGCCCUAAACAAACGGAGUCUGUUUGUGCACCAGCUGACAAAUUGCAGCACGUGGCUCCUGUCCAGGGUGGAACAUCAUUUUCCACCCUCGGAAUCAAAGGCAUUGCUGGCAUCAUCAGUAGUGGAGCAGUUUCCAUGUCUAAAGGACAGUCUUGGCACAGGCUAUGAUGCGUGGUUCACCCCAGGAAGGAAACAUAGACCUGCAACAG